Molecule: non-coding RNA, 70 nt
Organism: Podarcis lilfordi (Lilford's wall lizard)
Lineage: Eukaryota; Metazoa; Chordata; Lepidosauria; Squamata; Lacertidae
Source: the annotation of a GenBank genome assembly
GAAGCACCAUAGCUCAGUGGUAGAGCAACUGCUUUGCAUGCAGUCCCUAGUUCAAUCCCUGGAGUCUUCA